Molecule: non-coding RNA, 118 nt
Organism: Sediminibacillus halophilus
Lineage: Bacteria; Bacillati; Bacillota; Bacilli; Caryophanales; Bacillaceae
Source: Rfam
GGGUGAUGCCUCCUUACCCACAUAAAUGUAGACACUCGGUCACGCUGUGGACAGGAUACUUUCCGUGCCAUAGAGGCUUGUCGUCGCCGGCAGGAUGUGAGGGUGGGUUAAAUGCCCG